RNAcentral lists this ribosomal RNA (484 nucleotides) under uncultured bacterium. Its description in RNAcentral is "partial 16S ribosomal RNA". It matches the Rfam family "Bacterial small subunit ribosomal RNA", at positions 28 to 523 of the family's 1533-position model. The record is from RNAcentral.
GACGAACGCUGGCGGCGUGCUUAACACAUGCAAGUCGAACGAUGAUGCUGGAGCUUGCUCCAGUUGAUUAGUGGCGAACGGGUGAGUAACACGUGAGCAAUCUGCCCUUGACUCUGGGAUAACUGCGGGAAACUGUAGCUAAUACCGGAUACUUUCACCGGAAGGCAUCUUCUGGUGAUGAAAGAAUUUCGGUCAGGGAUGAGCUCGCGGCCUAUCAGCUUGUUGGUGAGUUAACGGCUAACCAAGGCGACGACGGGUAGCCGGCCUGAGAGGGUGACCGGCCACACUGGGACGGAGACACGGCCCAGACUCCUACGGGAGGCAGCAGUGGGGAAUAUUGCACAAUGGGCGCAAGCCUGAUGCAGCAACGCCGCGUGAGGGAUGAAGGCCUUCGGGUUGUAAACCUCUUUUAGCAGGGAAGAAGCGAAAGUGACGGUACCUGCAGAAAAAGCACCGGCUAACUACGUGCCAGCAGCCGCCGUAA